ACCCGGAUACAGAGUCAUCCUUGCCUUUUCUUUUAAAAUCUCCAUCAACCGUCUACGUCCGUCCGACCAAUAUCACACGGUUGUAAUCCACUGAUCUCCCGAUCCCUUCGCGUCCGGGUCGGUACCGGGGCAGCACACCGUCCGCAUUCAGAAGGAGCAAAAACCCAGCAAGAACCGGAAACGACCUUGCUCCACUCCCCCAGCUGCUGUGCCCUUCUGUUCAAAUUUCUCGCUCCUGACCGGCGAAUCCGUUUUCUUUUCUAAAAGAAGAUGGCGAUCUUCCCGUCACUGCGGCACCUCCGGCGGUCCCUCUCAUCCUCUGUAGCCCGGCGGCUGAGGCGGCUUCCGGCGGCGAGAUCCUUCACCACCACCGAGGGCUCCCGGCCCACCAUCGUGCACAAGCGGAGCCUGGACAUCCUACACGAUCCCUGGUUCAAUAAGGGCACGGCUUUCUCGAUGACGGAGCGGGACCGGCUGGAUCUUCGCGGGCUUCUUCCCCCGAAUGUUAUGACUCGGCAGCAGCAAAUUGAUCGCUUCAUGGUUGACUUGAAAAGACUAGAAGUUCAUGCAAGAGAUGGACCGUCAGACACUAAUGCUUUGGCUAAAUGGCGUAUCCUUAACAGGUUGCAUGACAGAAAUGAGACCAUGUACUACAAGAUCUUAAUUGAAAAUAUCGAGGAAUAUGCACCUAUAGUAUAUACACCCACUGUUGGCCUUGUCUGUCAGAACUAUAGUGGACUGUUUAGACGACCACGGGGAAUGUAUUUCAGUGCAGCAGAUAGGGGGGAGAUGAUGUCGAUGGUUUACAAUUGGCCAGCCGAGCAGGUUGAUAUGAUUGUGGUAACGGAUGGAAGUAGAAUAUUGGGCCUUGGUGAUCUUGGGGUUCAGGGUAUUGGCAUUGCAAUUGGAAAGCUGGAUUUGUAUGUUGCUGCUGCUGGAAUGAAUCCUCAAAGGGUGCUUCCUGUGAUGAUUGAUGUUGGAACUAACAAUGAGAAGCUUCUCAAAGACCCACUGUAUCUAGGACUUCAAGAGCAUCGUCUUGAUGGUGAUGAAUACAUCUCUGUUAUUGAUGAAUUUAUGGAAGCUGUUUUUACACGAUGGCCAAAUGUCAUUGUACAGUUUGAAGAUUUUCAAAGUAAGUGGGCUUUCAAAUUAUUGCAGCGUUACAGAAAUACCUAUCGAAUGUUUAAUGAUGAUGUCCAGGGUACUGCUGGGGUUGCAAUUGCUGGUCUUCUAGGAGCUGUAAGGGCUCAGGGAAGACCAAUGAUAGACUUCCCAAAACAAAAGAUUGUUGUUGCCGGUGCUGGAAGUGCUGGGAUUGGAGUUGUCAAUGCUGCAAGGAAAACUAUGGCAAGAAUGCUGGGUAACAAUGAAGCAGCUUUGGAGAGUGCGAGGAGCCAGUUCUGGGUGGUUGAUGCUACGGGUCUGAUAACACAAGGCCGUGCAAAUAUUGAUCCAGAUGCUUUACCAUUUGCCAGAAAGCUAAAGGAAGUGAGCCAUCAAGGUCUAACUGAAGGAGCAAGCCUAGUUGAAGUGGUUAACAAAGUAAAGCCUGAUGUUCUACUUGGAUUAUCUGCAGUUGGCGGUUUGUUCUCCAAAGAGGUUUUAGAAGCCCUGAAGGAUUCAUCUUCCAGUAGACCAGCAAUCUUCGCUAUGUCAAAUCCUACAAAAAAUGCUGAAUGCGCACCUGAGGAAGCCUUUUCCGUGCUGGGUGAGCAUAUCAUAUUCGCUAGUGGAAGCCCGUUUCAUGAUGUUGAUCUUGGAGAUGGUAAAAUUGGGCACUCUAACCAGGGAAAUAACAUGUAUCUGUUUCCUGGCAUAGGUCUUGGUACCCUUUUGUCUGGUGCACGUGUUAUCUCUGAUGGUAUGCUUCAGGCUGCAGCUGAAUGUUUGGCUGCAUAUAUGAAAGAAGAGGAGGUUCUUAAGGGGAUCAUAUACCCUUCAAUAUCCAGCAUAAGGGACAUAACAAAGGAGGUAGCUGCAGCUGUGGUGAGGGAAGCUGUAGCAGAAGAUCUAGCGGAGGGAUACCGUGACAUGGAUGCUCGGGAGCUUCAAAGACUUAGUCAGGAGGAAACUGUGACAUAUGUAGAGAACAACAUGUGGAGUCCAGAGUAUCCAACCCUGGUUUACAGAAAGGACUGAAGCACCAUCCAUCUUGCCAGGUUAUUUUUUAUAAUUAGAUGCGACAGGCAAGUGUAUGAGCAUCACACACAGAAAUAGGAGCCCUAUUGUAUGAUCUGAAGUGCCCUCAUGGCUUCUCAAUAGGUAUAUCAGAGUUGCAGUAUCCUUUGUUAUUGGUGUUCACUGGGCUUGCAUGCCUAUUUGUGGGCAUAUAACAGGAUUCUAGGUUUUCAAAAAGGUCUUUUUUUCAGUAUCAUAUGCUUCCAACAUAAACGGGUUGAUUGAGCCAACAGACGUGUGAAGAAUGAUACUUAUGAUUUCUAUGUCCCCUCAACCUCUGUUUUCAGCAAUGAGAGAUGUGAUAAUAAAAAUAUUUUGAAAUCCGAUUUUUUGCCCUUUACUUACUCUCUAGCACCCCGAAAUUUGAGUUGGUAAACUCAUUCAGUUAGCUUAUUGAUUUUUGUACUUUAGAUCUUUGCCACGUGCGAGUUAUUUUUGGUUUUAUAGGCUUGCAUAAACAUUGAACAAACCUAUAUUUUUUCUAAUUCUGAACAAAGAAGUUAUGUACUCUUUUCUUGAAUUUGUGGGCAAAUAAAUUAUUAUGA
Phoenix dactylifera (date palm) is the source of this 2726-nucleotide RNA transcript. It is a transcript of the gene named NAD-dependent malic enzyme 1, with no coding region annotated. NCBI's taxonomy places the organism in Eukaryota, Viridiplantae, Streptophyta, Magnoliopsida, Arecales, Arecaceae. The record is from RefSeq and is a predicted model, not a curated record.